CGGAAACGAAAGUCUUCCGGUUCCGGGGGAAGUAUGGUUGCAAAGCUGAAACUUAAAGGAAUUGACGGAAGGGCACCACCAGGAGUGGAGCCUGCGGCUUAAUUUGACUCAACACGGGGAAACUCACCCGGCCCGGACACCGUAAGGAUUGACAGAUUGAUAGCUUUUUCAUGAUUCGGUGGAUGGUGGUGCAUGGCCGUUCUUAGUUCGUGGAGCGAUUUGUCUGGUUUAUUCCGAUAACGAGCGAGACUCUGGCCUACUAAAUAGUUGGAGCAUUGCCGCUGUGCUCACACACUUCUUAGAGGGAUUGUCGGUGUUCAGCCGCAAGAAAUUGAACAAUAACAGGUCUGUGAUGCCCUUAGAUGUCCGGGGCUGCACGCGCGCUACACUGGCAAAAUCAGCGUGCUUGUCCUUGCCCGAGAGGGCGUGGUAAACCCGUGAAAAUUUGCCGUGAUUGGGAUCGGACAUUGCAAUUAUUGUCCGUGAACGAGGAAUUCCUUGUAGGGGCGAGUCAUCAGCUCGCUCUUGAUUACGUCCCUGCCCUUUGUACACACCGCCCGUCGCUGCCCGGGACUGAGCCAUUUCGAGAAACUCGGGGACCGUUGGUUGAGCAGCCUUCGGGCUGUCCAGCCGAUGGAAACCGAUUUAAUCGCAGUGGCUUGAACCGGGCAAAAGUCGUAACAAGGUAGCUGUAGGUGAACCUGCUGCUGGAUCAUUAGCCAAGUGACCACGCAUUCACCACCUACCCGUUGCUUUGCUGUUGUGAGCGCACUCAUCUUCCUCCGAGGGAAAUGCCAUUGGGCAAGCCAACGUUAUUGGCCUCCGGAGGCAAUGAGUCCAGGCCCCAAGUUGGGCUGUCACUUCAGCUCAGCAACCGCUCUGAGGGUAUUUGCGCAAGAUUUUGGCCGUCAUUCUGGUGCAGUGGCGCACACAUUUCUCCGCGGGUAAUGCCAUUGGGCAAGCCAACGUUAUUGGCCUCCGGAGGCAAUGAGUCCGAGCCGCCUUGCGGUGGCUGCACUGUCCAUCUAAGUGACGUGCCCUCGGGGCAACUAACGGCUGUGCUGGCGUCUGUGCGUUGUUGAGCAGUUGUUGCGCGCAAUUUGUUGCCGGAGUUGUGAUCAGAGCACGUUGGCGUGGACAUGUUCUCGGGAUCGUCCACGUCUCACACACCGUGACUGCGGAUGUGCUCUGUGUACUCUGACAGCAAUUGUGCGCUACGUCCGUGGCUGUGAUGAGACGACGCGGUAGGGCCUUGUGCCAGCGAUGCACUUGGUUUAAGACUUGAUGAGCUCGUUGCGAGAGCCGCCAGCGUUUUUUUUCUUUUCAAUAUUUUUUUAACGCACAAAUGGUG
RNAcentral lists this ribosomal RNA (1351 nucleotides) under Scutellonema brachyurus. Its description in RNAcentral is "bacterial SSU rRNA". The stretch from base 1 to 718 matches the Rfam family "Eukaryotic small subunit ribosomal RNA", at positions 1089 to 1831 of the family's 1831-position model. Lineage: Eukaryota; Metazoa; Nematoda; Chromadorea; Rhabditida; Hoplolaimidae. The record is from RNAcentral.